This 619-nucleotide ribosomal RNA is filed under the name Rhodococcus sp. (in: high G+C Gram-positive bacteria). Its description in RNAcentral is "bacterial SSU rRNA". It matches the Rfam family "Bacterial small subunit ribosomal RNA", at positions 230 to 859 of the family's 1533-position model. The record is from RNAcentral. Lineage: Bacteria; Bacillati; Actinomycetota; Actinomycetes; Mycobacteriales; Nocardiaceae.
CCCGCGGCCUAUCAGCUUGUUGGUGGGGUAAUGGCCUACCAAGGCGACGACGGGUAGCCGGCCUGAGAGGGCGACCGGCCACACUGGGACUGAGACACGGCCCAGACUCCUACGGGAGGCAGCAGUGGGGAAUAUUGCACAAUGGGCGCAAGCCUGAUGCAGCGACGCCGCGUGAGGGAUGACGGCCUUCGGGUUGUAAACCUCUUUCAGCAGGGACGAAGCGUGAGUGACGGUACCUGCAGAAGAAGCACCGGCCAACUACGUGCCAGCAGCCGCGGUAAUACGUAGGGUGCAAGCGUUGUCCGGAAUUACUGGGCGUAAAGAGCUCGUAGGCGGUUUGUCGCGUCGUCUGUGAAAACCAGCAGCUCAACUGUUGGCUUGCAGGCGAUACGGGCAGACUUGAGUAUUUCAGGGGAGACUGGAAUUCCUGGUGUAGCGGUGAAAUGCGCAGAUAUCAGGAGGAACACCGGUGGCGAAGGCGGGUCUCUGGGAAAUAACUGACGCUGAGGAGCGAAAGCGUGGGUAGCGAACAGGAUUAGAUACCCUGGUAGUCCACGCCGUAAACGGUGGGCGCUAGGUGUGGGUUUCCUUCCACGGGAUCCGUGCCGUAGCUAACGCA